CGGGGAUUGGCGCAGGGGUAGCGCGCUUGUUUUGGGAGCAAGAGGCCGUGAGUUCAAAUCCCACAUCCCCGACCA
RNAcentral lists this transfer RNA (75 nucleotides) under Prevotella sp. RNAcentral describes it as "tRNA-Pro". It matches the Rfam family "tRNA". From Rfam's summary of the family: Transfer RNA (tRNA) molecules are approximately 80 nucleotides in length. The record is from RNAcentral. Lineage: Bacteria; Pseudomonadati; Bacteroidota; Bacteroidia; Bacteroidales; Prevotellaceae. RNAcentral also lists the same sequence under 3 other names.